GAUGAACGCUGGCGGCGUGCCUAAUACAUGCAAGUCGAGCGAACAGACGAGGAGCUUGCUCCUCUGACGUUAGCGGCGGACGGGUGAGUAACACGUGGAUAACCUUCCUAUAAGUCUGGGAUAACUUCGGGAAACCGGAGCUAAUACCGGAUAAUAUAUUGAACCGCAUUGUUCAAUAGUGAAAGACGGUUUUGCUGUCACUUAUAGAUGGAUCCGCGCCGCAUUAGCUAGUUGGUAAGGUAACGGCUUACCAAGGCAACGAUGCGUAGCCGACCUGAGAGGGGGACCGGCCACACUGGAACUGAGACACGGUCCGGACUCCUACGGGAGGCAGAAGUAGGGAAUCUUACGCAAUGGGCGAAAGCCUGACGGAGCAACGCCGCGUGGGUGAUGAAGGUCUUGGGAUCGUAAAACUCUGUUAUUAGGGAAGAACAAAUGUGUAAGUAACUAUGCACGUCUUGACGGUACCUAAUCAGAAAGCCACGGCUAACUACGUG
RNAcentral lists this ribosomal RNA (497 nucleotides) under uncultured bacterium. RNAcentral's name for it is "partial 16S ribosomal RNA". It matches the Rfam family "Bacterial small subunit ribosomal RNA", at positions 28 to 507 of the family's 1533-position model. The record is from RNAcentral.